This 390-nucleotide ribosomal RNA is filed under the name uncultured bacterium. RNAcentral describes it as "bacterial SSU rRNA". It matches the Rfam family "Bacterial small subunit ribosomal RNA", at positions 30 to 424 of the family's 1533-position model. The record is from RNAcentral.
AUUGAACGCUGGCGGCAUGCCUUACACAUGCAAGUCGAACGGCAGCGGGCCUUCGGGUGCCGGCGAGUGGCGAACGGGUGAGUAAUGCAUCGGAACGUGCCAUUGAGUGGGGGAUAACGUAGCGAAAGUUACGCUAAUACCGCAUAUUCUGUGAGCAGGAAAGCAGGGGACCGCAAGGCCUUGCGCUCUUUGAGCGGCCGAUGUCAGAUUAGCUAGUUGGUGAGGUAAAGGCUUACCAAGGCGACGAUCUGUAGCGGGUCUGAGAGGAUGAUCCGCCACACUGGAACUGAGACACGGUCCAGACUCCUACGGGAGGCAGCAGUGGGGAAUUUUGGACAAUGGGCGCAAGCCUGAUCCAGCCAUGCCGCGUGAGUGAAGAAGGCCUCGGUU